RNAcentral lists this ribosomal RNA (479 nucleotides) under Escherichia coli. Its description in RNAcentral is "bacterial SSU rRNA". It matches the Rfam family "Bacterial small subunit ribosomal RNA", at positions 938 to 1417 of the family's 1533-position model. The record is from RNAcentral. Lineage: Bacteria; Pseudomonadati; Pseudomonadota; Gammaproteobacteria; Enterobacterales; Enterobacteriaceae.
CAUGUGGUUUAAUUCGAUGCAACGCGAAGAACCUUACCUGGUCUUGACAUCCACAGAAGUUUUCAGAGAUGAGAAGGUGCCUUCGGGAACUGUGAGACAGGUGCUGCAUGGCUGUCGUCAGAUCGUGUUGUGAAAUGUUGGGUUAAGUCCCGCAACGAGCGCAACCCUUAUCCUUUGUUACCAGCGGUCCGGCCGGGAACUCAAAGGAGACUGCCAGUGAUAAACUGGAGGAAGGUGGGGAUGACGUCAAGUCAUCAUGGCCCUUACGACCAGGGCUACACACGUGCUACAAUGGCGCAUACAAAGAGAAGCGACCUCGCGAGAGCAAGCGGACCUCAUAAAGUGCGUCGUAGUCCGGAUUGGAGUCUGCAACUCGACUCCAUGAAGUCGGAAUCGCUAGUAAUCGUGGAUCAGAAGGCCACGGUGAAUACGUUCCCGGGCCUUGUACACACCUCCCGGCGCACCAUGGGAGUGGGUGC